AGUGAACGCUGGCGGUAGGCCUAACACAUGCAAGUCGAACGGCAGCACAGUAAGAGCUUGCUCUUACGGGUGGCGAGUGGCGGACGGGUGAGGAAUACAUCGGAAUCUACUUUUUCGUGGGGGAUAACGUAGGGAAACUUACGCUAAUACCGCAUACGACCUACGGGUGAAAGCAGGGGAUCUUCGGACCUUGCGCGAUUGAAUGAGCCGAUGUCGGAUUAGCUAGUUGGCGGGGUAAAGGCCCACCAAGGCGACGAUCCGUAGCUGGGCUGAGAGGAUGAUCAGGCACACUGGACCUGAGACACGGUCCAGACUCCUACGGGAGGCAGCAGUGGGGAAUAUUGGACAAUGGGCGGAAGCCUGAUCCAGCCAUACCGCGUGGGUGAAGAAGGCCUUCGGGUUGUAAAGCCCUUUUGUUGUGAAAGAAAAGCAGCAGGUUAAUACCGCGCUGUUCUGACGGUACCCAAAGAAUAAGCACCGGCUAACUUCGUG
This 492-nucleotide ribosomal RNA is filed under the name uncultured bacterium. Its description in RNAcentral is "partial 16S ribosomal RNA". It matches the Rfam family "Bacterial small subunit ribosomal RNA", at positions 29 to 507 of the family's 1533-position model. The record is from RNAcentral.